ACCAGGGCACGGGUUGAGCGAUUCCAGAGAGCGGCGCUGGGAAUCCAGAUGAUAACAGAAGUAACAGGCCCGCUCGGUCUUCCAGAAGGAUUGUCGGUGCCAACUCGCAGGACACGCGGCAGUUGGCCCGGAGAGGAUCUGCUCCUCACAUUAAACAGGAGAUAAUAACGGACGUAUACAAACCCUGAUGGCCCUGCUGGAGGAUGAUGGUGCAAGAAUCAAGCCGUCCACGUCUGGGGAGAACCUUCUCGGGCCGACCUCUCAUCGCCCCUCGCGUCCUGGUCAUCCUGGGUUCUUCCCUGCUGAGGCUGAAGAAGAUGCUCGUCUUCUCAUCUCCACCCUGGAGGCCGCCGGUCAAAUGUGGUAAAGCACUUUUGUCCCGAGACCGGGUGAAAGGUGUCAUCGGGAAAGCUCUGCCAAAGAAGUGUGGGUGGCACUGGGAGCAGGUGGGUAAAUUGUCUUGCCCAAGGACACAACGGCAGUGACUAGGAUGGCAGAAGCGGGAAUCAAACCUGCAACUCUCAAGUUGCUGGCACAGCCACUCUACCAACCAAGCUAUACCGCCCCCUGAUGAGUGCGAGCUGCUUAAAGGACCAGUGCAUCCAAGGAUCCUGGCGGGAACUUAGUUCUCAAAUGGAGUACCUGUUUUCGUUCCGUUAACCUGGAUCUCGACUGCCUCCCUCGUUCCUCAACUCCUCGCUCGCCCCCGGACUCUGACGCCUCUCUCUCGCCCCGAAUCACCUCGUUCCUUCCCUCUCAUCAACAUUUGGUGACACACACUUCAGCUGACUACACACAUAGCCUCACACACACACACUCUUGGGUUUUGACAAACUCCAUUUCCUUAGGUUAGUUUAUUUUUUAGUAUUAUUGUGUAUUUUUAUAUUUAUAUCAU
Long non-coding RNA from Nerophis ophidion (straightnose pipefish), 895 nucleotides. RefSeq lists it as uncharacterized. The transcript has 4 exons. NCBI's taxonomy places the organism in Eukaryota, Metazoa, Chordata, Actinopteri, Syngnathiformes, Syngnathidae. The record is from RefSeq and is a predicted model, not a curated record.